UAGGGAAUCUUCGGCAAUGGACGAAAGUCUGACCGAGCAACGCCGCGUGAGUGAAGAAGGUUUUCGGAUCGUAAAACUCUGUUGUUAGAGAAGAACAAGGACGUUAGUAACUGAACGUCCCCUGACGGUAUCUAACCAGAAAGCCACGGCUAACUACGUGCCAGCAGCCGCGGUAAUACGUAGGUGGCAAGCGUUGUCCGGAUUUAUUGGGCGUAAAGCGAGCGCAGGCGGUUUCUUAAGUCUGAUGUGAAAGCCCCCGGCUCAACCGGGGAGGGUCAUUGGAAACUGGGAGACUUGAGUGCAGAAGAGGAUAGUGGAAUUCCAUGUGUAGCGGUGAAAUGCGUAGAUAUAUGGAGGAACACCAGUGGCGAAGGCGGCUCUCUGGUCUGUAACUGACGCUGAGGCUCGAAAGCGUGGGGAGCAAACAGG
This 429-nucleotide ribosomal RNA is filed under the name Gemmatimonadota bacterium. Its description in RNAcentral is "Gemmatimonadetes bacterium partial 16S ribosomal RNA". It matches the Rfam family "Bacterial small subunit ribosomal RNA", at positions 355 to 776 of the family's 1533-position model. Lineage: Bacteria; Pseudomonadati; Gemmatimonadota. The record is from RNAcentral.